UACAUAGGGUGCAAGCGUUGUCCGGAAUUAUUGGGCGUAAAGAGCUCGUAGGUGGUUCGUUACGUCGGAUGUGAAAAUCUGGGGCUCAACCCCAGACCUGCAUUCGAUACGGGCGAACUAGAGUGUGGUAGGGGAGACUGGAAUUCCUGGUGUAGCGGUGGAAUGCGCAGAUAUCAGGAGGAACACCAAUGGCGAAGGCAGAUCUCUGGGCCGUAACUGACGCUGAGGAGCGAAAGCAUGGGGAGCGAACAGG
This 253-nucleotide ribosomal RNA is filed under the name uncultured bacterium. Its description in RNAcentral is "partial 16S ribosomal RNA". It matches the Rfam family "Bacterial small subunit ribosomal RNA", at positions 524 to 776 of the family's 1533-position model. The record is from RNAcentral.